AGUCGAGGGGUAUUAGGAGCUUGCUCCUAAGAGACCGGCGCACGGGUGCGUAACGCGUAUGCAAUCUACCUUGUACAGGGGAAUAGCCCAGAGAAAUUUGGAUUAAUGCCCCAUAGUAUAAUUGAAUCGCAUGGUUUAAUUAUUAAAGUUCCAACGGUACAAGAUGAGCAUGCGUCCCAUUAGUUAGUUGGUAAGGUAACGGCUUACCAAGACAAUGAUGGGUAGGGGUCCUGAGAGGGAGAUCCCCCACACUGGUACUGAGACACGGACCAGACUCCUACGGGAGGCAGCAGUGAGGAAUAUUGGUCAAUGGGCGCAAGCCUGAACCAGCCAUGCCGCGUGCAGGAAGACGGUCCUAUGGAUUGUAAACUGCUUUUAUACAGGAAGAAACAACUCUACGUGUAGAGUCUUGACGGUACUGUAGGAAUAAGGAUCGGCUAACUCCGUGCCAGCAGCCGCGGUAAUACGGAGGAUCCAAGCGUUAUCCGGAAUCAUUGGGUUUAAAGGGUCCGUAGGCGGUCUUAUAAGUCAGUGGUGAAAUCUCCUAGCUCAACUAGGAAACUGCCAUUGAUACUGUAAGACUUGAAUUUUUGUGAAGUAACUAGAAUAUGUAGUGUAGCGGUGAAAUGCUUAGAUAUUACAUGGAAUACCAAUUGCGAAGGCAGGUUACUAACAAACGAUUGACGCUGAUGGACGAAAGCGUGGGGAGCGAACAGGAUUAGAUACCCUGNUAGUCCACGCCGUAAACGAUGGAUACUAGCUGUUCGGCGCAAGUUGAGUGGCUAAGCGAAAGUGAUAAGUAUCCCACCUGGGGAGUACGCACGCAAGUGUGAAACUCAAAGGAAUUGACGGGGGCCCGCACAAGCGGNGGANCAUGNGGUUUAAUUCGAUGAUACGCGAGGAANNUUACCNAGGCUUAAAUGUAGUUUGACCGAUUUNGAA
RNAcentral lists this ribosomal RNA (942 nucleotides) under uncultured bacterium. RNAcentral's name for it is "bacterial SSU rRNA". It matches the Rfam family "Bacterial small subunit ribosomal RNA", at positions 60 to 1005 of the family's 1533-position model. The record is from RNAcentral.